ACCAUGCGUCAGACAUUUGACGAGUAGGGAGUGAGACUGUGUUGCUUUAACCUGUUCCCCUCAAUAUUUUUGUUAUUUUAUUUUUGUCUUGUUAUUCCAGUCUGUCCACAUCUGUGCUCAAACUCUCACCAGGAAUACAAUUUCCACAACAAUUUUGGCACCCCAGAUGGGACGGACACAUGAUUUGGACUCGAGUGAAGUGCGGAGGCCUACUUAGAUAGUGGAUUCCUCCCUGUGGGUGAGAAGCUGCAUUCAACUGAGCCCUGGUCAUCGCUCCGGUCCUGGAUAAGAACUUACAUGGUGUACACUGCAAAAAAUCCAUUCCGGCUAGAUCCUGACCUGGACUCCGCACCGCUUCCUCCUCCAGCUUUGAACCAACCGCAAGAUCCAAACCAGCAGCUCCAAGGAGCGCACGUUUAAACCCAGAAGAGACUGAAACCAAAGCCGCAACAACAGCUGUGGCUGCGGGAGGGCCAGUAACGCUUCAAGUUGCAAUGAAGACUGAGGGAGAGGGCUCUGGAGGUGUCAGGACACAGGUGCCUCAGAGACGUGGCUCCGUUUGCAGAGGUGAAAAGUGCAUUGCCCUCAGUGGCCAGGUUGUGGCCCUCUCCACAACCUGAAACCUGGAGACUGGGUACUCAUCAAGGACCACAGGAGAAAGCAUGGGAAGCAACGGUGUUUCCGGGAUCCCUUCCAAGUUCUUCUAACCACCGAAACCGCAGUGAAAGUCACAGGACGGGAUACCUAUGUCCACGCCAGCCACUGUAAGCCUAUCCCGGAGCCCUGCGACAACGUUGAGCCCUCCAUCCAUAUCCACAUCCCAACCCAACCGGCUCGAGCUCAGCGGACCAGACGUGCUGAGGACAGCACACCGGAAGGGUAACUUACCUGUGUUUCAGGUAACAACAAGUCACUAUAUUCUCCGUAUUUUUAAUUGACCGUACAUAUAGGCAUAGGUACAUAACACUCAUUGCUCCACGCAGACGUGAGUGGGGGGGGGGGGGGAGCAGUCAGCCAAACACUACACUACACGUAUUUGAACUACAGAGUGACCAACGAGGAAUCGAUGAUGGAAUCCAGCUCUACAUGGCUGUGGCACCCUUUCUGGUUCCCAGGAUGGAAACGGCUAGGUCUCAGGGGUUCAAUGUUGUUUUUGGCUGGUAUUUCUGUGAUUAUAGUGUUUCCCGUUCUGUAUGUGUUUGACAAACGUCCACCUGCAUCCAACUCAACCAUCGACUGAUACCACAUAGUCUUAACAGAUCAAAGCGAGCAGUAACACCACUGACGUUGCCACUGGAGGGGAAUGCCUGGUACAGAGUAUUGAAUAGUUCUGUGCGUGCCACGUAAAUUCUAGUUGCUGUGCAUGUAUGACCGGAAAGCUACGCUCUAGGCAGUUGCCUCUGCCUUAUUUAGCCUGCGUGGAACACUCGCAUGUAGUUUCCAAAUUUAAACCUUUUCCACUCUCCGACGUUCACCAGACCCCGGCCGGGGCCUGGGACUGCAUGCUCACACGCGGCUACAGAAUCGGCAUGGCCCAGUUAGCCACUUAUGCUGAAUGUCCACUCCUUGACACCGCAAACACUGUCGCACCUACUCCUCAGAACACCACAGUAGCGACAGACGUCAAAUUUGAACGUUUUCACCGAGGUGAGACUCAUUCUAAGGUUCACACGACUGAUCAGUCGGUGGGGCAUUUUCCUGGUGUGUGCUCACACACCUGGGACUGUACCACUGAAUGCACCGUAGACGACCUCACAGACUACCACACUUCAUACAAGCCUAACGCUGACAUGCUGUCACACUAAGUCCGUGCCAUACCUGACCUGUACUGGUCAUGUGGGAGUGGCCGGCUGUACCAAAGUAUGCCUGAAGGAUGGAGAGGUACAUGCGCAAGGGUUGUCUUGGCAUUCGAUGUCCUUAUUAUGCCAUACGAUGCCCCACAGCCUUAUAGGCAGAAACGCUCCAUCCCGGAUUUCUCCUCUACUCAUCCUAAUGUGUCCAUAGAUGCCAUCGGGGUGACCCGACUGGUCCCAAAUGAGCUCAAAGCAAGAAAUCAAAUCGCGGCCGGAUUUGAAUCAAGUCUGUGUUGAUGGUGCACAAUUAACAAGAAUGUAGAUUGGAUAAAUUACUUUACUUUACGCAGCAACUUUACUCUAACCUCAUGCGCGAUGCUCUCAGGGCUCUGGGAGCACAGUUGCAUGCUACCUCCCAGAUGGCCUGGCAAAAUAGGCUGGCGUUGGACAUGUUAGUGGUGGAGAAAGGAGGCGUUUGUGUCAUGUUCGGUGAUUCAUGUUGCACGUUUAUCCCCAAUAACACUGACAGCGACGGUUCUUUCACUUUAGCGUUGUCUAAACUGGAAACUCUAGCCCAAGAACUAAAAGAGAAUGCUGGGACAGAUGACUGGAUGAUUAAUUGGUUUGACUCAAUGAUCAGUAAAUGGAAGUCAGUCAUCCUGACAGCUGUGUCUGCUCUAAUCCUGACCCUAGCAGUGUUCUCCCUGGUAGGAUGUUGCAUCAUUCCCUGUAUCUGAGGUGUCAUAGGCAGGACUGUCAACACAGCUCUCACCCACCAGAUGUUGUCCCUUUCAGGAUGUUGAUUGUUUUGACCAGGUAGUUUAGAUUGAACUGUGUAUUUUCAACCUUUUUGCUUGCUCAUAACUCCAGGGUGUCUAUGUUCUACAAAAACUAGAAAGCUAAGGCUAGUUUUCUUAUUGUCAAUUGAUGAUGCGUUUGUUUAAACAGUAAAAUGAUAACAUUCGUUGAUGUACUGACAAUUUUCUAUACUUAGAAUGUCCAUAUAUGGACAGAGGGAGGAUUGUGACAGCAGAAAAUUGUUUCUUCUUACACUUAUAAUCUUUUAUGCAAGUACUUGUAAGAGUGCUAUUUUUCUCCUUUUAUUAUGUCGUAUAUAUUGAUUUAAAUCUUUAACCUGUUCCCCUCUUUAUUAUUGUUCUUGUUAUUCCAGUCUGUCCACAUGUGUGGGGUUUAGGUCAGGUAUGUGGGGUUGUUGAUUGUUUUCCUCACUAGCUGUUCUUCUCCUUCUUUUGAUCUUUUGUUCCCCA
Long non-coding RNA from Micropterus salmoides (largemouth bass), 3061 nucleotides. RefSeq lists it as uncharacterized. The transcript has 3 exons. NCBI's taxonomy places the organism in Eukaryota, Metazoa, Chordata, Actinopteri, Centrarchiformes, Centrarchidae. The record is from RefSeq and is a predicted model, not a curated record.